GAGUUCAUGCCCUCACGGGUAGACCUCCCACCCUUGUGUAUUAUUACUUUGUUGCUUUGGCGAGCUGCCUUCGGGCCUUGUAUGUUCGCCAGAGAAUAUCAAAACUCUUUUUAUUAAUGUCGUCUGAGUACUAUAUAAUAGUUAAAACUUUCAACAACGGAUCUCUUGGUUCU
RNAcentral lists this unclassified non-coding RNA (173 nucleotides) under rhizosphere metagenome. RNAcentral describes it as "partial ribosomal RNA internal transcribed spacer region". The record is from RNAcentral.